CAUAUGAUAUCACAUAUCUGGAAUCUAAUAUAUGGCACAAAUGAAACUUUACACAGAAAAGAAAAUCAUGGACUUGCAGAAUAGACUUGUGGUUUCCAAGGGGAGGGGGAAGGAUUGGGAUGGAUUGGGAACUUGGGCUUAAUAGAUGCAGACUAUUGCCUUUGGAAUGAAUAAGCAAUGAAAUCCUGCUGUGUAGCACUGGGAACUAUAUCUAGUCACUUAUGAUGGAGCAUGAUAAUGGGAGAAAAAAGAAUGUAUACAUGUAUGUGUAACUGGGCCACCUUGCUGUACAGUAGAAAAUUGACAGAACACUGUAAAUGAGCUAAAAUGAAAAAAAAAUCAUUACAAAAAAAUAAAAAUUCUUAUGCAUCUCAGAAAAUUUCUUUUUGUAAUUAUCUUAUUUUGAUUUUUAUGUUUAUUAUAUAUUCUAGUAAUCAUAUUUCUUUUUCAUUUUAUAUGUUCUAGAAAUUAUAUGUGAAAUUAAAUUAUACUAUACUUUUUUGUUUAUUUUGUUCAACUUUAUGCUAGUGAAAAAAGUUCAUGUUUUCUUAUAGUUGUAGACCAUUCAUCUUUAUUGUUAUUUAGGAUUUCAUUUUAUGAAUAUGACAAAAUUAGUUUAUACAUCCUAUUGAUAAUGUAAAUAUAAAGAAUUACAUAGUUAUUGAGUUGCUCCAAAUCCGAGAUGCUGGCUUCUGUCUUGUGGCUUUACUUAUACUAUGUCCUUUCCCCAAGUUUACCUCAUGGCCUCAGAUAAUUUUUUAUGCUCCAGCCAUUACAUCUACAUUCUGGGUUUUAGGAAAAUUGAAAGGAAGGCAAAUACUCUUUUUAAGGACUUUUUUUUUUUAAUAAGCUGGUCACAUCCUUUAUACCUACUCUCAGUGACCAGAACUCAGUCAUUUGUUUAUAUCCACAUACAGGGGAGGGUAGGAUACACAUUUUUCAUUUUAGGGAGUCAUAUUUGUAUGUAUAAUUAGAGCCCACUAUUAUGGAGAAUGGCUAUGGGUUGCCAAUUACCAGUCUGCCACAUUAGUAAUAAAUAAUGUAUAACCAUGUUUCUAUGUAUUAUUUAUAGCUAGUUUGCAUUUUCUUAGACUGGUUUUAAAUUUAUAAGAAAAUCUUUGAUGUUUGAAAUUGAGAAACUACUAUGCUCAUAUUGGUUAAUGUUAAUACAUGUGAUAGAAUUUGGAGGUGACAUUUUGGGGCGGUAGCUAGACCUCAGUAAUGGGAUUAAUGCUGGGAGCUUCAUUCUCCCUUUCACCGUGUGAGGACACAAUGAGAAGACAGUCAUUUGUGAUCCAGAGGGCGAGCUCUCACAAGUCACUGAAUCUGCCAGUACCCUGAUCUCAGGCUUCUCAGCCUCCAGAUAUGGGGGAAAUAAAUGUGUAAUUUGUAAGCCAUCUGGUCUGAAUUGUUGUAGCAGCCUGCAUGUAGCUAGACACUAAAACAUGUUAUUUUUGAUGACCAUUCUUGUAAUGAUUACAGUAUAUCAAUAAUAAUAAUAAUCUGAUAUUUAACAAACUAUGUAUUGGGGGAAAAAACAGUGUAAACACAUUUACAGACUUAAAGAAUUUUAAAUAUAGCAUCAUGUUUUGAUUCUGAGGUAAUAAGAGUAUAUCCCUUUUUAAAAAAGGAAAACAAAACCCCAGUAGUAUUAAUUAUAUAUUACAUGUUAAAUCAUAAUUUGAGCUUCUUGACAGUUUUGAUUUCCCUAAGAUGUCAAUUACUGUAAAUUCAUAGUGUUUACACUAUUUUUGUGAGUAUGGAAUAAAUGUGCUCAGUAUAACUGUCUUUUUGAUAAUUAUAGGUCAUAAAACAUUGAGUUAGCUUCUGGGUAUUUAAAUUAUGUGAAUGCAUAAGAAUUGUAAAAACUAUCUCUGAAUCUCUCAGAGUGUGGUACCAUUAAUACAUAGUAUGCAUGUCCAAAGAAACUAGGAAGAUAACUACCAAACAGAUAUUUCAACUAUACUUGUCAUAAAUUUGAAACUCACUUUCAAGCAUUGCUGCAGACCAGGUACAAACUUUUGCCAUCAGAAUAUAAAGACAAUAGGGUCCAGGUAGCAAUGUGAAUCCUUUGGGAUUAUAAGGAGGCUAUAAAAUGAGAUAAAAGCUUGUACAUCAAUUAUCUGCCUUCCCUUUCUAGCAAUACUGGUUUGGACUCAAAGUGAGAAUCCAGGCAAGGCACACAAAAUUGAUUGCAUGAGAUUUAUUAAAUGAUGUGUAGAGAAAAACAAGCUGAGAGUGUGAUGUCCAGCAGGAAUAUGUUUUUUGAAAAAGGGGAGCCUGGGAUCCACUGUUAAAGAGAGUUCAUGUGGUAACAAUGACUGGUGUUGACUGUGGGUCAGGUACUCGUCUAAGUAUUGUACAUGAAGUAAUUAGUUUAAUUCUCACUAAUAUGAUAAGGUAGGUAUGAUUAUAUAAGUCCAUUUUAUAGAUGAGGAAGCUGAGACAUAAAGAAGUUAAGUAACUUGCUCAAAGUCACACUGAUUGUAACCUGUGGGUCCAGCUGAACAAAAAUCCUUUUGUUCCUGACUAUGUGUCCUUACUGCCUUCAUGCAAUGGACAAAAAGUAAAUAGGCUUUUCAGGUUUCAAGAUUUUCACACUUUCAGAAUGUGUAGAGGAACCAACAAAGGAUUAGCAGAGGGAAACAAAGAACAAAUACAUAAUGGCAUUGGAUGGAAAGUGUAAGUGAUUUUUCCUCCAAAAGGAUCAAAGUGUUACUCAGGGACCCAUAUCUAAAGAGUAGAUUGAUGUCUGGAUUUGGAAAGAGACCAUGGGCCUCAUUCUGCUUUUCUGCUUUGAUAAACCAAAUAUAACUCAGAGUAACUUGUCGAUAUCAUAGUUGAGCUGCCCACACAGGUUGUGAAAUGGUUGAUUCCAGUUUUGAGAAUUCAAGAAAUCUCCUGUGAGGCCACCUAAUAAGUGCAACUGGGAAAAAGGUAACAGUAGACUAGUGUAUUUCCCUGUAAACAUCUACUGUUGGGAGAAAGUGAUGAGUCACAGAGAGGAAGAGCACAUGAUUUCAGAAUUUUUAAAGUCUUAGUUUCUUCCUCUGAAUAAUGUCUCCAGUAUUUUUCAUUUUCUGUGACAUCAAGGACACAGACUGUUGGAGUCUGUUUUUAUGGCCCACAAAAUCAGGAUGAGAGUGUCAACUUGAUAGUGCUGUUUCAAGUGCCAUAUAAAAGGCACAGCACAGUGCUAGCCUGUAUAUUAUUAAUCUUUUCUGAUUGCCUUUGAAAUUGUUUCUACCAUUUCAGUUUCCAAAUACUAUUUCUGAUAUUUAUGUUCUGACUUAUAGUAACCAUGAGUAAAUCUCAUAAAGGAAAGAGGAAAAAGAAAGGAAAGGAGAGUAUUUUAGAAUUUAUUUUGCUGACGGUACAGACUAAGCUGUUCUAACCCCAGGACCCUAGGAACAGUGAGGGCAGGUGGGUGAUUCAGUCAGAGUGUGAGCAACCUUCGAGAUAUGGCCCUUGGCCUUCAUCAUAUGGACGGAGGAGCUUUCCAGAAUGCCACCAUGGCACAGAUCAUGGAAAAGAGAAAUGUGAACCGAACUGCAUGUUGCUCUCAUUUCAUUGUCCAGGACUAAAUCACAAGCUGGAAGACCAAAGCUGGUGUAGACUGUCUGAGGAGACAUGAGCUCAGGAAAAAACUAACAUUUAAAAUACAGUAUUGUUAGUGCUAUGAUAAAUGGAUGAGCAAAUUGCAAUGGUAGCAGAGAUGAGGGAGAAACUAAGUCAGCAUUUUGAAGGAAUGUCUUUUCACAGUCCUCAUCAUUACUGAUUUUUAUUAGUGUGGUAUUAUGCUGAGAAGAUAACACACAUACUUUCCUAUUGAUUCAUGUGAAAGUACACAUUCUUGUGUGAGUUUUAAGAUGUUUUUUAAAUAAUUUUGAUGUUUCCCUCACAGUUUGCUAAGUCUAGCUUACCAAAGUCAUCAUAAUGAGAGAAGCAUGUUCUUCAAGUCAUUUAAGUAAGUGGGUCUUAUCUGAACAUAGCAUCUCCUUUAUUUCUCCAUUUUUUAAGAUGGUAGUUAAAUAUAAACAGAUGUUUUAAAUCGGAAUAGUUGAAGACAGAAAAGGAGAAGGGUGAAGAAGUAGGUGACAUCAAGCCCUGGAAAGAACAGACACCUGAUCUCAAACCAUGAAUUGAGGAGAGGGAAAAGUCAGGGGAGAAAUUAGGACACUAAAGGUGGGAUGGAAGGUAUUCUUAGAUGGAGUUUUGUUGUUAGUUAAAUAAUUAUUCCAAGAGGCAAGAUGUUCUAAAAUCUUCCCUUCAAACCUCAUUUGAAAUUCUUAUGUUAUACCUCCUCACCCCACCCAACCUUGGCUAAAAAGCCCUAGGACUGUUAAAUUAAUAAAAUAUUUUAUUUCUUUUCCUAUUGAAUUCUUUAAGGUGUUGUGUGAGUCUUGAAUCUUAAUUUCAUAAAGAAACUAUCGGUAACGAAUUUAAGAAACAUCCAUUGAUGCCAAGAAUGCCCCCAUAUCCAAAAUGCUAGUUGUAGAGAUGGAAAGAUGCUCAAAGUUCAGUAGGGCAGAGAAACAUGUGGGAACUAACUCUCAUGAUGGCUAAUGUGGUAAGAGAAACAUAUAUAAAGAGAGACAUGAAUUUAUGGAGCAGUGGUUUGCAUGCUGUGGAAUAUGAAUCACACACUCAGGUGUUGUCUAUGGAAGAGGAAAAAGAAUGGAAGUCUGGAGCCUUCACUGGCACUGUCCCCUCUCCCACAUCCUGUUUCCACUGGCUCAAACAGAGCAUGCUGUGCUUUUCAACCGUUUAUACAUCCAGAUUCUACUUGCAUUUUGUUUGGAGGAAAGAGUCAAUAGACAAAAAGAAUUAAAACCCCAUUGUUUCAAGAUAGUACAGCUAAGAGAAGCCACUGAUUCUUCCUUGUUGUUAUGAAUGCAGAUUGUGAAAAUUUUCCCUAGCUAAUUCUGUAUUUUAAAAUAUUUAUUUCAGGAGUUCCCAUUGUGGCGCAUUGGAAACGAAUAUGACUAGGCACCAGGAGGUUGCGGGUUUGAUCCCUGGCCUCACUCAGUGGGUUAAGGAUCCAGUGUUUCGGUGAGCUGCAGUGUAGGUCACAGACGUGGCUCAGAUCUGGUGUUGCUGUGGCUGUGGUGUAGGCUGGCAGCUGUAGCUUUGAUUCUAUCCCUAGCCUGGGA
This 5153-nucleotide long non-coding RNA is filed under the name Sus scrofa (pig). RNAcentral's name for it is "lncRNA (ENSSSCG00015061285.1)". Lineage: Eukaryota; Metazoa; Chordata; Mammalia; Artiodactyla; Suidae. The record is from RNAcentral.